UACGUAGGGUGCAAGCGUUAAUCGGAAUUACUGGGCGUAAAGGGCUCGUAGGCGGCCAACUAAGUCAGACGUGAAAUCCCUCGGCUUAACCGGGGAACUGCGUCUGAUACUGGAUGGCUUGAGUUUGGGAGAGGGAUGCGGAAUUCCAGGUGUAGCGGUGAAAUGCGUAGAUAUCUGGAGGAACACCGGUGGCGAAGGCGGCAUCCUGGACCAACACUGACGCUGAGGAGCGAAAGCCAGGGGAGCAAACGGG
RNAcentral lists this ribosomal RNA (253 nucleotides) under uncultured bacterium. RNAcentral's name for it is "partial 16S ribosomal RNA". It matches the Rfam family "Bacterial small subunit ribosomal RNA", at positions 524 to 776 of the family's 1533-position model. The record is from RNAcentral.